GGUGGCUCAGCGGUAGAGCACUUGCCUUGCAUGCAUGAGGCCCUGGGUUCAAUUCCUCAGCACCA
Non-coding RNA from Dipodomys ordii (Ord's kangaroo rat), 65 nucleotides. NCBI's taxonomy places the organism in Eukaryota, Metazoa, Chordata, Mammalia, Rodentia, Heteromyidae. The record is from Rfam.